RNAcentral lists this ribosomal RNA (1567 nucleotides) under Rhincalanus nasutus. Its description in RNAcentral is "SSU rRNA". It matches the Rfam family "Eukaryotic small subunit ribosomal RNA", at positions 30 to 1622 of the family's 1831-position model. Lineage: Eukaryota; Metazoa; Arthropoda; Copepoda; Calanoida; Eucalanidae. The record is from RNAcentral.
GCUUGUCUCAAAGAUUAAGCCAUGCAUGUCUAAGUACAAGCCUCACUAAGGUGAAACCGCGAAUGGCUCAUUAAAUCACACCUAAUCUACUGGAUAGUUAACAGUUACUUGGAUAACUGCGGUAAUUCUGGAGCUAAUACAUGCACAAAGCCUCGAACUUACGUGAGAGGCGCUUUUAUUAGAUCAAAACCAAACGUUUUCGAACGUUUUCUUGGUGACUCUGAAUAACUUUGGGCUGAUCGCAUAGCCUAGCGCUGGCGACAUAUCCUUCGAAGGUGUGCCCUAUCAACUGUCGACUGUGGCAUAGACGCCCACAGUGGUUUUGACGGGUAACGGGGAAUCAGGGUUCGAUUCCGGAGAGGGAGCCUUAAAAACGGCUACCACAUCUAAGGAAGGCAGCAGGCACGCAAAUUACCCAAUGACCGAAGGUCGAGGUAGUGACGAAAAAUAACGAUACGGGACUCUUCCGAGGCCCCGUAAUCGGAAUGAGUACACUUUAAAACCGUCCCCGAGGAUCUAUUGGAGGGCAAGUCUGGUGCCAGCAGCCGCGGUAAUUCCAGCUCCAAUAGCGUAUAUUAAAGUUGUUGUGGUUAAAAAGCUCGUAGUUGGAUCUCGGCAGUCUGAGGUUGGUGUACUUGCUAGUACUACUGCCCUAUAGACUGUAGUUUUGCCAGAGGUGCCCGGGUGCUCUUAAUCGAGUGUCCUGGUAUGCUGGCAGGUUUACUUUGAAAAAAUUAGAGUGCUCAAAGCAGGCUUUUACGCCUGAAUAUUCGUGCAUGGAAUAAUAGAAUAGGAAGUCGUUUCUAUUUUGUUGGUUUUCGGAAAUCGACUUAAUGAUUAAUAGGGACAGUCGGGGGCAUUUGUAUUCAAACGACAGAGGUGAAAUUCUUGGACCGUUUGAAGACAAACUACUGCGAAAGCAUUUGCCAAGAAUGUUUUCAUUAAUCAAGAACGAAAGUUAGAGGUUCGAAGGCGAUUAGAUACCGCCCUAGUUCUAACCAUAAACGAUGCCAGCUAGCGAUCUGCCGACGUUUUUUUUGUAGACUCGGCAGGAAGCUUCCGGGAAACCAAAGCAUUUGGGUUCCAGGGGAAGUAUGGUUGCAAAGCUGAAACUUAAAGGAAUUGACGGAAGGGCACCACCAGGAGUGGAGCCUGUGGCUUAAUUUGACUCAACACGGGAAAUCUCACCAGGCCCGGACACUGGAAGGAUUGACAGAUUGAUAGCUCUUUCUUGAUUCGGUGGGUGGUGGUGCAUGGCCGUUCUUAGUUGGUGGAGUGAUUUGUCUGGUUAAUUCCGAUAACGAACGAGACUCUGUCCUGCUAAAUAGUGUCGGCUUCUCUUUUGAGCCGAUAAUUCUUCUUAGAGGGACUGGCAACUCUCAGUUGCACGAGAUUGAGCAAUAACAGGUCUGUGAUGCCCUUAGAUGUUCUGGGCCGCACACGCGCUACACUGAAUAGAUCAGCGUGUUCUCCCUUUCUGAGAAGAACGGGUAAACCGCUGAACCCUAUUCGUGGUAGGGAUCGGGGCUUGCAAUUGUUCCCCGUGAACCAGGAAUUCCCAGUAGGC